Molecule: ribosomal RNA, 460 nt
Filed under: uncultured Prevotella sp.
Lineage: Bacteria; Pseudomonadati; Bacteroidota; Bacteroidia; Bacteroidales; Prevotellaceae
Description: bacterial SSU rRNA
Rfam family: Bacterial small subunit ribosomal RNA
Source: RNAcentral
CCUACGGGAGGCUGCAGUGAGGAAUAUUGGUCAAUGGGCGGAAGCCUGAACCAGCCAAGUAGCGUGCAGGAUGACGGCCCUACGGGUUGUAAACUGCUUUUAUGCGGGGAUAAAGUUGCCCACGCGUGGGUUUUUGCAGGUACCGCAUGAAUAAGGACCGGCUAAUUCCGUGCCAGCAGCCGCGGUAAUACGGAAGGUCCGGGCGUUAUCCGGAUUUAUUGGGUUUAAAGGGAGCGCAGGCCGCCGUGCAAGCGUGCCGUGAAAAGCAGCGGCCCAACCGCUGCCCUGCGGCGCGAACUGCUUGGCUUGAGUGCGCCGGAAGCGGGCGGAAUUCGUGGGGUAGCGGUGAAAUGCUUAGAUAUCACGAAGAACCCCGAUUGCGAAGGCAGCCCGCUGUGGCGCCACUGACGCUGAGGCUCGAAGGUGCGGGUAUCGAACAGGAUUAGAUACCCCGGUAGUC